Molecule: ribosomal RNA, 392 nt
Filed under: uncultured bacterium
Lineage: Bacteria
Description: bacterial SSU rRNA
Rfam family: Bacterial small subunit ribosomal RNA
Source: RNAcentral
GAUGAACGCUGGCGGCGUGCCUUAACACAUGCAAGUCGAGCGAUCAUCUUCGGAAGAGAGCGGCGGACGGUGAGUAACGCGUGGGUAACCUGCCCUGUACACACGGAUAACAUACCGAAAGGUAUGCUAAUACGAGAUAAUAUGCUUUUGUCGCAUGGUAGAAGUAUCAAAAGCUCCGGCGGUACAGGAUGGACCCGCGUCUGAUUAGCUAGUUGGUAAGGUAACGGCUUACCAAGGCGACGAUCAGUAGCCGACCUGAGAGGGUGAUCGGCCACAUUGGAACUGAGACACGGUCCAAACUCCUACGGGAGGCAGCAGUGGGAAUAUUGCACAAUGGGCGAAAGCCUGAUGCAGCAACGCCGCGUGAGCGAUGAAGGCCUUCGGGUCGUAAA